Molecule: ribosomal RNA, 506 nt
Filed under: Rahnella aquatilis
Lineage: Bacteria; Pseudomonadati; Pseudomonadota; Gammaproteobacteria; Enterobacterales; Yersiniaceae
Description: bacterial SSU rRNA
Rfam family: Bacterial small subunit ribosomal RNA
Source: RNAcentral
CCCCCUGGACAAAGAUUGACGCUCAGGUGCGAAAGCGUGGGGAGCAAACAGGGAUGAGAUACCCUGGUAGUCCACGCUGUAAAUGAUGUCGACUUGGAGGUUGUGCCCUUGAGGCGUGGCUUCCGGAGCUAACGCGUUAAGUCGACCGCCUGGGGAGUACGGCCGCAAGGUUAAAACUCAAAUGAAUUGACGGGGGCCCGCACAAGCGGUGGAGCAUGUGGUUUAAUUCGAUGCAACGCGAAGAACCUUACCUACUCUUGACAUCCACGGAACUUGCCAGAGAUGGCUUGGUGCCUUCGGGAACCGUGAGACAGGUGCUGCAUGGCCGUCGUCAGCUCGUGUUGUGAAAUGUUGGGUUAAGUCCCGCAACGAGCGCAACCCUUAUCCUUUGUUGCCAGCACUUCGGGUGGGAACUCAAAGGAGACUGCCGGUGAUAAACCGGAGGAAGGUGGGGAUGACGUCAAGUCAUCAUGGCCCUUACGAGUAGGGCUACACACGUGCUACAA